This 300-nucleotide unclassified non-coding RNA is filed under the name uncultured fungus. RNAcentral's name for it is "sequence contains 5.8S rRNA gene, ITS2". The stretch from base 1 to 71 matches the Rfam family "5.8S ribosomal RNA", at positions 84 to 154 of the family's 154-position model. Lineage: Eukaryota; Fungi. The record is from RNAcentral.
GUGAAUCAUCGAAUCUUUGAACGCACAUUGCGCUUCCUGGUAUUCCGGGGAGCAUGCUCGUUUCAGAAUCAUUUAAAACUCACAAGCCUGUGCGGCGUUUGUCGUAUUUGGUGCGUGGAUAUGAGUGCAUUGGCUUGGAUUUACUUCCACAAACCCAAUCGCUUUAAAAUGAUUUUGUACGCAACCCUCGCCUUCUUUUGUGGGCUGCCAACAGUGCGACAGUUUUUAAACAGUUCAUUUUUGGUUGCCACCACGAGACGACGGGGCGUGUAUUUCUUACCUCCAAACACAUGGCACUGU